GGGGAAUAUUGCACAAUGGGCGCAAGCCUGAUGCAGCCAUGCCGCGUGUGUGAAGAAGGCCUUCGGGUUGUAAAGCACUUUCAGUCGUGAGGAAGGUAGUGUAGUUAAUAGCUGCAUUAUUUGACGUUAGCGACAGAAGAAGCACCGGCUAACUCCGUGCCAGCAGCCGCGGUAAUACGGAGGGUGCGAGCGUUAAUCGGAAUUACUGGGCGUAAAGCGCAUGCAGGUGGUUUGUUAAGUCAGAUGUGAAAGCCCGGGGCUCAACCUCGGAAUUGCAUUUGAAACUGGCAGACUAGAGUACUGUAGAGGGGGGUAGAAUUUCAGGUGUAGCGGUGAAAUGCGUAGAGAUCUGAAGGAAUACCGGUGGCGAAGGCGGCCCCCUGGACAGAUACUGACACUCAGAUGCGAAAGCGUGGGGAGCAAACAGGAUUAGAUACCCUGGUAGUCCACGCCGUAAACGAUGUCUACUUGGAGGUUGUGGCCUUGAGCCGUGGCUUUCGGAGCUAACGCGUUAAGUAGACCGCCUGGGGAGUACGGUCGCAAGAUUAAAACUCAAAUGAAUUGACGGGGGCCCGCACAAGCGGUGGAGCAUGUGGUUUAAUUCGAUGCAACGCGAAGAACCUUACCUACUCUUGACAUCCAGAGAACUUUCCAGAGAUGGAUUGGUGCCUUCGGGAACUCUGAGACAGGUGCUGCAUGGCUGUCGUCAGCUCGUGUUGUGAAAUGUUGGGUUAAGUCCCGCAACGAGCGCAACCCUUAUCCUUGUUUGCCAGCGAGUAAUGUCGGGAACUCCAGGGAGACUGCCGGUGAUAAACCGGAGGAAGGUGGGGACGACGUCAAGUCAUCAUGGCCCUUACGAGUAGGGCUACACACGUGCUACAAUGGCGCAUACAGAGGGCAGCCAACUUGCGAAAGUGAGCGAAUCCCAAAAAGUGCGUCGUAGUCCGGAUUGGAGUCUGCAACUCGACUCCAUGAAGUCGGAAUCGCUAGUAAUCGUGGAUCAGAAUGCCACGGUGAAUACGUUCCCGGGCCUUGUACACACCGCCCGUCACACCAUGGGAGUGGGCUGCAAAAGAAGUAGGUAGUUUAACCUUCGGGGGG
This 1101-nucleotide ribosomal RNA is filed under the name Vibrio parahaemolyticus. RNAcentral describes it as "bacterial SSU rRNA". It matches the Rfam family "Bacterial small subunit ribosomal RNA", at positions 356 to 1449 of the family's 1533-position model. Lineage: Bacteria; Pseudomonadati; Pseudomonadota; Gammaproteobacteria; Vibrionales; Vibrionaceae. The record is from RNAcentral.